GGAAUAUUGCACAAUGGACCUAAAGUACUGAUGCAGCAACGCCGCGUGGAGGAUGACACAUUUCGGUGCGUAAACUCCUUUUAUAUGAGAAGAUAAUGACGUUCCUCAUAUGAAUAAGCACCGGCUAACUCCGUGC
This 136-nucleotide ribosomal RNA is filed under the name uncultured bacterium. RNAcentral's name for it is "partial 16S rRNA". It matches the Rfam family "Bacterial small subunit ribosomal RNA", at positions 358 to 508 of the family's 1533-position model. The record is from RNAcentral.